AACACGUUGGAACCUGCCCCAAAGUGAGGAUAAGCCACCGAAAGGUGGUCUAAUACUUCAUAAUAUCCAUCUCGUAUGGAUUAAAGCUUUAUGCGCUUUGGGAGGGCCUGCGUAACAUUAGCUUGUUGGUGAGGUAAAAGCUCACCAAGGCUUCGAUGUUUAACUGGUUUGAGAGGAUGACCAGUCACACUGGGACUGAGAUACGGCCCAGACUCCUACGGGAGGCAGCAGUAAGGAAUCUUCCACAAUGGGGCAACCUGAUGGAGCAAUACCGCGUGCAGGAUGAAGCGUUUCGGCGUGUAAACUGCUUUUAUCACCGAAGAUUAUGACUGUAGGUGAAGAAUAAGGACCGGCUAACUACGUG
This 364-nucleotide ribosomal RNA is filed under the name uncultured bacterium. RNAcentral describes it as "bacterial SSU rRNA". It matches the Rfam family "Bacterial small subunit ribosomal RNA", at positions 112 to 507 of the family's 1533-position model. The record is from RNAcentral.